UCUUAUCCAGAGAGGUGGAGGGACUGGCCCUUUGAAGCCUCGGCAGCGAGCAUUUUAUAUGUGUUGUGCCAAUUCCAGUAGCGUUUAGCUAGUAGAUAAG
This 100-nucleotide non-coding RNA is filed under the name Nosocomiicoccus ampullae. Its description in RNAcentral is "SAM riboswitch (S box leader)". It matches the Rfam family "SAM riboswitch aptamer (S box leader)". Rfam says of the family: The SAM riboswitch is found upstream of a number of genes which code for proteins involved in methionine or cysteine biosynthesis in Gram-positive bacteria. RNAcentral also lists the same sequence under 1 other name. Lineage: Bacteria; Bacillati; Bacillota; Bacilli; Caryophanales; Staphylococcaceae. The record is from RNAcentral.